This 72-nucleotide transfer RNA is filed under the name Scorodocarpus borneensis. Its description in RNAcentral is "tRNA-Gln". It matches the Rfam family "tRNA". Rfam says of the family: Transfer RNA (tRNA) molecules are approximately 80 nucleotides in length. Lineage: Eukaryota; Viridiplantae; Streptophyta; Magnoliopsida; Santalales; Strombosiaceae. RNAcentral also lists the same sequence under 4 other names. The record is from RNAcentral.
UGGGGCGUGGCCAAGUGGUAAGGCAACGGGUUUUGGUCCCGCUAUUCGGGGGUUCGAAUCCUUCCGUCCCAG